GGGGGAAUUUUCCGCAAUGGGCGAAAGCCUGACGGAGCAAUACCGCGUGAGGGAAGACUGCCUAUGGGUUGUAAACCUCUUUUUUCAGGGAGGAAUAAAAUGACGUGUACCUGAAGAAUAAGCAUCGGCUAACUCCGUG
Molecule: ribosomal RNA, 139 nt
Filed under: uncultured bacterium
Lineage: Bacteria
Description: partial 16S ribosomal RNA
Rfam family: Bacterial small subunit ribosomal RNA
Source: RNAcentral